AACGCGAAGAACCUUACCAGGUCUUGACAUCCCUCUGAAUCACCUAGAGAUAGGUGCGGCCUUCGGGACAGAGGAGACAGGUGGUGCAUGGUUGUCGUCAGCUCGUGUCGUGAGAUGUUGGGUUAAGUCCCGCAACGAGCGCAACCCUUGAAUUCAGUUGCCAGCACUUCGGGUGGGCACUCUGAAUUGACUGCCGGUGACAAACCGGAGGAAGGCGGGGAUGACGUCAAAUCAUCAUGCCCCUUAUGACCUGGGCUACACACGUACUACAAUGGCCGGUACAACGGGCAGCGAUACCGCGAGGUGGAGCCAAUCCUUAAAAGCCGGUCUCAGUUCGGAUUGCAGGCUGCAACUCGCCUGCAUGAAGUCGGAAUUGCUAGUAAUCGCGGAUCAGCAUGCCGCGGUGAAUACGUUCCCGGGCCUUGUA
RNAcentral lists this ribosomal RNA (427 nucleotides) under uncultured Bacillota bacterium. RNAcentral describes it as "bacterial SSU rRNA". It matches the Rfam family "Bacterial small subunit ribosomal RNA", at positions 958 to 1385 of the family's 1533-position model. The record is from RNAcentral. Lineage: Bacteria; Bacillati; Bacillota.